GGGGCUGACUUGGAUUUCGACAGAUUUCUUGUCGCACAGAUAGCAUGCCAAGCGCUGCUUGUAAAACAGCAACAAAAAUAACUGUAAACAACGCAGAUUACGCUCCAGCUUACGCUAAAGCUGCGUGAGUUAAUCUCCUUUUGGAGCUGGACUGAUUAGAAUUUCUAGCGUUUUAAUCACUCCAUAACCUUAAGCUAGACGCUUUUAAAAGGUGGUUCGCCUUUUAAACUAAGAACAAGAACUCUUGAAACUACCUCAAGGUUUUAGAAAGUUGGACCAGAGCUAGUUUUAAGGCUAAAAACUAACCAAUUUUCUAAGCAUUGUAGAAGUUUGUGUUUAGGACAAGAUUUUUGGACUGGGGUUCGAUUCCCCACAGCUCCACCA
RNAcentral lists this transfer-messenger RNA (384 nucleotides) under Helicobacter pylori. It matches the Rfam family "transfer-messenger RNA". Rfam says of the family: Bacterial tmRNA, also known as 10Sa RNA or SsrA, is named for its dual tRNA and mRNA-like properties. Its role is to liberate the mRNA from a stalled ribosome. To accomplish this part of the tmRNA is used as a reading frame that ends in a translation stop signal. RNAcentral also lists the same sequence under 1 other name. Lineage: Bacteria; Pseudomonadati; Campylobacterota; Epsilonproteobacteria; Campylobacterales; Helicobacteraceae. The record is from RNAcentral.